AAUUGUCAGACAACCUAUGAACCCACAUAUCUCAGGAACAGAAGGAUGUAUCAAGAAUACUGUAAAAAGGGAAUAACGGCGGAAAACACGUCAACAUGUCCUGGGAAUUGAACAAGCCAAGGAGGAGACGGACAUUUCCAGAUUAAAGACCUUGCCACAUCACUUUUAUGAACACCACAACUCCAAUGGCAGACUACUUAUGGUGACCUUUACCCCAUCAAUCAAGAUUGGCAUUACUGGAAUAUUUAUUUUCAGUAUUAAUAUGUAUGUUCUUUUAUUAUUCUGCAGAAUCCCAUAGUCAUUUAGCAUAUUGCUAUCCCCCACUUUAUGUCCAUGGUUUU
This is a long non-coding RNA of Hyla sarda, 341 nucleotides long. RefSeq lists it as uncharacterized. The record is from RefSeq and is a predicted model, not a curated record. The transcript has 3 exons. NCBI's taxonomy places the organism in Eukaryota, Metazoa, Chordata, Amphibia, Anura, Hylidae.